RNAcentral lists this ribosomal RNA (166 nucleotides) under uncultured bacterium. Its description in RNAcentral is "partial 16S ribosomal RNA". It matches the Rfam family "Bacterial small subunit ribosomal RNA", at positions 340 to 523 of the family's 1533-position model. The record is from RNAcentral.
UACGGGAGGCAGCAGUGGGGAAUAUUGCGCAAUGGAGGAAACUCUGACGCASCCAUGCCGCGUGAGUGAAGAAGGCCUUAGGGUUGUAAAGCUCUUUCAGAUGUGAUGAUGAUGACAGUAGCAUCAAAAGAAGUUCCGGCUAACUUCGUGCCAGCAGCCGCGGUAA